Molecule: ribosomal RNA, 252 nt
Filed under: uncultured bacterium
Lineage: Bacteria
Description: partial 16S ribosomal RNA
Rfam family: Bacterial small subunit ribosomal RNA
Source: RNAcentral
UACGUAGGGGGCAAGCGUUGUCCGGAAUUAUUGGGCGUAAAGCGCGCGCAGGCGGCUGUUUAAGUCUGGUGUUUAAUCCUGGGGCUCAACUCCGGGUCGCACUGGAAACUGGGCAGCUUGAGUGCAGAAGAGGAGAGUGGAAUUCCACGUGUAGCGGUGAAAUGCGUAGAGAUGUGGAGGAACACCAGUGGCGAAGGCGACUCUCUGGGCUGUAACUGACGCUGAGGCGCGAAAGCGUGGGGAGCAAACAGG